CAAUACGCCAUUUGUGUUCUCUUCAUAAUUAACGGAGGGAGUAUUUCUAAAGGACUCUCAUUUCCUUAUGUAUGAAAAUGCAGACUUGCUUUCAAGAUACCUGACUAGGAUCUCUUGCUAAUGAGUUCACGUCUGCCAGCUGCCCCCUCUCCGAAAUCUCGCUUCUGCUGCGCCGGGGUACAACGGGAGGCCGGCAGUAUUGAUGACCGCCCAGGGAAGCGAUAGACUGAUGCAAGACACAUGAUAUGCUGUAUUCUUUUCCUUUUCGUCAACUGAUAACUCUUCCGGAUAAUUAUACACUCAACGGGAGCAAAGCAACCCAAAAUGGAGGUACAUGGGCAACACUCACUUCGCUGCUGCUCUGCCUCUGCAUCCUCUUCGACUUUCAAUAGGAGGAUCAUGUGCUGCUUGUCUGCUUCCACAUUGAGCCAGGAGGUUAAGAAGAUAAGAUAUGUAACAUGUAUGAGGUAUGCAUGAAACUUUUACAUUCAUUCUUCUACUUUGAUUUGGUGUAUGACCUGUCUUGAAGCAUGGUGGCAUUGUUGCCGGCCAACAGAGUGGUCGAUUGUGUAUGUAGGUCCCCGUGUUUAUUUCUACAAAUAAAAAUGAUCCAAAUGAAAUGGAGUAUGCAAUCACAAAAACUACAAUAAAUAAUGCACAAAACUAUUGAUCUCACUACGUAGUGUUCCUGAUCUUGAUCUCUCUUGUGUAUGACCCUUUCUUGGCGUCGUUCUUUCAUUUAAAAUAAACUUGCAACUUUCUCAUUCAAGGUGAUUUUUGAAAAAAAACUUCCGCGUGAUAUACCAUGAUUGGUCCUGGA
This is a non-coding RNA of Lolium perenne, 820 nucleotides long. The record is from RefSeq and is a predicted model, not a curated record. Lineage: Eukaryota; Viridiplantae; Streptophyta; Magnoliopsida; Poales; Poaceae.